CAGUAGCCGCGGGAAUACGAAGGGUGCAAGCGUUACUCGGAACUACUGGGCGUAAAGCGUGCGUAGGUGGUGGUUUAAGUCCGUUGUGAAAGCCCUGGGCUCAACCUGGGAAUUGCAGUGGAUACUGGGUCACUAGAGUGUGGUAGAGGAUAGCGGAAUUUCCGGUGUAGCAGUGAAAUGCGUAGAGAUCGGAAGGAACAUCUGUGGCGGAGGCGACCAUCUGGGCCAACACUGACACCGAGGCACGAAAGCGUGGGGAGCAAACAGGAUUAGAUACCCCAGUAGUCCCUGUCUCUUAUAC
RNAcentral lists this ribosomal RNA (301 nucleotides) under uncultured bacterium. RNAcentral's name for it is "partial 16S ribosomal RNA". It matches the Rfam family "Bacterial small subunit ribosomal RNA", at positions 509 to 807 of the family's 1533-position model. The record is from RNAcentral.